RNAcentral lists this non-coding RNA (45 nucleotides) under Schistosoma bovis. Lineage: Eukaryota; Metazoa; Platyhelminthes; Trematoda; Strigeidida; Schistosomatidae. RNAcentral also lists the same sequence under 1 other name. The record is from RNAcentral.
UCCCAGCCGACAAGUCGCAAACAGGACGAAACACGCUUCCUGGAU